This 253-nucleotide ribosomal RNA is filed under the name uncultured bacterium. RNAcentral's name for it is "partial 16S ribosomal RNA". It matches the Rfam family "Bacterial small subunit ribosomal RNA", at positions 524 to 776 of the family's 1533-position model. The record is from RNAcentral.
UACGUAGGGUCCGAGCGUUGUCCGGAAUUACUGGGCGUAAAGGGCUCGUAGGCUGCCAACUAAGUCAGACGUGAAAUCCCUCGGCUUAACCGGGGAACUGCGUCUGAUACUGGAUGGCUUGAGAUUGGGAGAGGGAUGCGGAAUUCCAGGUGUAGCGGUGAAAUGCGUAGAUAUCUGGAGGAACACCGGUGGCGAAGGCGGCAUCCUGGACCAACACUGACGCUGAUGAGCGAAAGCCAGGGGAGCAAACGGG